Molecule: ribosomal RNA, 443 nt
Filed under: Ornithonyssus bursa
Lineage: Eukaryota; Metazoa; Arthropoda; Arachnida; Mesostigmata; Macronyssidae
Description: SSU rRNA
Rfam family: Eukaryotic small subunit ribosomal RNA (bases 57-443)
Source: RNAcentral
UUACCGCGGCUGCUGGCACCAGACUUAGGCGCUCCAUAUCGUAUCUUAAAUUGUCCGCAUCUAACAAGCUCGUAGUUUGAAAACUUGCCUUGGCUUACAUUCGGUCCUCAUGGGCCACCGUUCGUCGAGCGCAAAUAUGGAUGACUGUUUUUGCCGACUUCAUUGUUGGGCUUAUAAGAGUCAUCAAAUAUCACUUUGAUUAAAUUAGAGUGCUUAAAGCAAGUGUGUUACUUGGAUAUAAAUGCAUGGAAUGAUGGAAUAUGUUGUUGUUCUAUUUGUUGGUUUUUGAACGAUGAAAUGAUUGAAAGGAACUGUUGGGGGCAUUCGUAUUGUUGUGAGAGAGGUGAAAUUCUUAGACCACAGCAAGACGAACUACUGCGAAAGCAUUUGCCAAGAAUGUUUUCAUUGAUCAAGAACGAAAGUUAGAGGUUCGAAGGCGAUCA